AAACACCAGUGUAUAUUCUCUU
RNAcentral lists this microRNA (22 nucleotides) under Monodelphis domestica (gray short-tailed opossum). RNAcentral describes it as "mdo-miR-7324-5p". Lineage: Eukaryota; Metazoa; Chordata; Mammalia; Didelphimorphia; Didelphidae. The record is from miRBase by way of RNAcentral.